ACCUGGUUGAUUCUGCCAGUAGUCAUAUGCUUGUCUCAAAGAUAAGCCAUGCAGAAUGAGUUGUCAAG
Molecule: ribosomal RNA, 68 nt
Filed under: Verticillium dahliae
Lineage: Eukaryota; Fungi; Ascomycota; Sordariomycetes; Glomerellales; Plectosphaerellaceae
Description: partial 18S ribosomal RNA
Source: RNAcentral